UGGGGAAUAUUGCACAAUGGGGGAAACCCUGAUGCAGCGACGCCGCGUGAGCGAAGAAGUAUUUCGGUAUGUAAAGCUCUAUCAGCAGGGAAGAUAAUGACGGUACCUGACUAAGAAGCCCCGGCUAACUACGUGCCAGCAGCCGCGGUAAUACGUAGGUGGCGAGCGUUGUCCGGAAUUACUGGGUGUAAAGGGAGUGUAGGCGGGAAUGCAAGUCAGAAGUGAAAACUAUGGGCUUAACCCAUAGCCUGCUUUUGAAACUGUAUUUCUUGAGUGAAGCAGAGGCAAGCGGAAUUCCUAGUGUAGCGGUGAAAUGCGUGGAUAUUAGGAGGAACACCAGUGGCGAAGGCGGCUUGCUGGGCUUUUUACUGACGCUGAGGCUCGAAAGCGUGGGGAGCAAACAGGAUUAGAUACCCUGGUAGU
Molecule: ribosomal RNA, 423 nt
Filed under: uncultured Lachnospiraceae bacterium
Lineage: Bacteria; Bacillati; Bacillota; Clostridia; Lachnospirales; Lachnospiraceae
Description: bacterial SSU rRNA
Rfam family: Bacterial small subunit ribosomal RNA
Source: RNAcentral